Molecule: long non-coding RNA, 410 nt
Organism: Camellia sinensis
Lineage: Eukaryota; Viridiplantae; Streptophyta; Magnoliopsida; Ericales; Theaceae
Source: RefSeq, a predicted model, not a curated record
CUCUGGAGUGGUAAACUACCUGUGCUGGGAUCUUAACGGAGACUAUUUGGCAUCUGUCAGUGAGGAAUCGGUGAAAGUUUGGUCGUUAACCUCAAGGGAGUGCAUUCAUGAGAUUAGCUCUUUAGUAUUCAAACCCUACAUUCUUUUGGCUUUCUCAUUUCAAAUUUGAGUCUCUCUUUAUUGGAGCUCCCAUGAUCUCAAAGAUUUUGUUGAGGGAAUAGUUGAUAUGAUCGAGCGGGUGAUGUUGGGAGCCAAAGAUUAUGUUGCUCUUUUUUUUUUUUUUUUUUGAAGACUUGAAUUUUUUAGUACAGUGUAUUUAAGGAUGGUUAAUGGAUAAUGUCUAUUAUAAAUUUAAUUAAUUUGUUAAUUUUGUUAUUUUUCAUUAACAAAAAAUUGUUUGGUGCUUGUAA